This is a long non-coding RNA of Clupea harengus (Atlantic herring), 459 nucleotides long. RefSeq lists it as uncharacterized. The record is from RefSeq and is a predicted model, not a curated record. NCBI's taxonomy places the organism in Eukaryota, Metazoa, Chordata, Actinopteri, Clupeiformes, Clupeidae.
UCGGAGGAGCUCUCAUUCUUGCAGUGUUUAGACAGACUGGGCCGUUCUGGGCAGUUCAGUUUGUGCAGUGUCCUGUGAGCAGCAAGAACCUCUCAAAGAAAGAAAACACAACCUCACAUGUGUCAUUUGGACUACAUUGCAAUGGCAGUCACAGUCAAAAUGCUCCGUCUCCUGAUUCUGGUGGUGGUGGCUGAAUCAAGUGUGUCACCCUCCGGGGCUGGAUACUCUUGCCGUUGCUUGCAGAAAGCCCCCAGUUUACCCUGGGUGAGGAUAAGAGACUUCAACAUUGCUGAGGGACAUGAUUUAUGCGGAACUGAGAUUAUAGUUCGAAUGGCAUCUGGAAAAAAUGUUUGUAUUGAUCCUGAUCAAACCUUGGGUAGACGCUUACAAAACUGCUGGAAAAGGAUUAACCGUAAGCAGAAACUAAAACCCAGGUGCCUUUAUAAACCCACAAGAAAA